RNAcentral lists this long non-coding RNA (669 nucleotides) under Homo sapiens (human). RNAcentral describes it as "HSALNT0176289". Lineage: Eukaryota; Metazoa; Chordata; Mammalia; Primates; Hominidae. The record is from RNAcentral.
GCGCCAUGGCGCUGUCCUGGCUGCAGCGCGUCGAGCUUGCGCUCUUUGCUGCCGCCUUCCUGUGCGGGGCCGUGGCGGCCGCGGCGAUGACUCGGACCCAGCACCAUCCCUGUGCUACUUUGUAGCUGGGGCCUCUGGCCUCUUGGCCCUCUACUGCCUCCUGCUUUUGCUCUUCUGGAUCUACAGCAGCUGCAUCGAGGACUCCCACAGGCUUGUUCUCUCCCUUUCAGAGGUGCUAUAGGGCUGCGCAUUGCACUGGCCAUCUCAGCUAUAGCCGUCUUCCUGGUCUUGGUGUCUGCCUGUAUCCUUCGAUUUGGCACCAGGUCUCUCUGCAACUCCAUCAUCUCCUUGAACACUACAAUUAGCUGUUCUGAAGCCCAGAAAAUUCCAUGGACACCCCCUGGAACUGCUCUGCAGUUUUACUCCAACCUACACAAUGCUGAAACCUCUUCUUGGGUGAAUUUGGUAUUGUGGUGUGUGGUCUUGGUGCUCCAGGUCGUGCAGUGGAAGUCUGAAGCCACCCCAUACCGGCCUCUGGAGAGGGGUGACCCUGAGUGGAGCUCUGAGACAGAUGCUCUCGUUGGGUCACGCCUUUCCCAUUCCUGAAGAAUAAGCGGAGUGCUUCCUGCAGCCGAAGACUCCAUGCCCAAGUGCCUGUAAUCCCCCCCC